RNAcentral lists this small RNA (81 nucleotides) under Flavobacterium sp. FPG59. RNAcentral describes it as "Flavo-1 RNA". It matches the Rfam family "Flavo-1 RNA". Lineage: Bacteria; Pseudomonadati; Bacteroidota; Flavobacteriia; Flavobacteriales; Flavobacteriaceae. The record is from Rfam by way of RNAcentral.
UUUUAGCCCGGACAGGAGCGAUAUCCUUUUUUGAGGCCUUUUUUGGCCUCAAAAAAGAUAAAGCGGAUAGCCGGAUAAGCU